GAUGAACGCUAGCGGCAGGCUUAACACAUGCAAGUCGAGGGGCAGCGGGAUGUAGCAAUACAUUGCCGGCGACCGGCGCAAGGGUGCGUAACGCGUGAAUAACAUGCCUAUUACAGGAGGAUAAUCCAUGGAAACGUGGUCUAAUACUCCAUAGUAUAUUUGAGUGGCAUCACUUAGAUAUUAAAGCUUCGGUGGUAAUAGAUUGGUUCGCGUGACAUUAGCUAGAUGGAGAGGUAACGGCUCACCAUGGCUACGAUGUCUAGGGGUUCUGAGAGGAAGGUCCCCCACACUGGUACUGAGACACGGACCAGACUCCUACGGGAGGCAGCAGUGAGGAAUAUUGGACAAUGGAUGGAAAUCUGAUCCAGCCAUGCCGCGUGCAGGAAGACGGCCCUAUGGGUUGUAAACUGCUUUUGUAUGGGAGCAAUAAGCUCUACGUGUAGAGUGAUGAGAGUACCAUACGAAUAAGCAUCGGCUAACUCCGUGCCAGCCGCCGCAGUAACAC
Molecule: ribosomal RNA, 505 nt
Filed under: uncultured bacterium
Lineage: Bacteria
Description: bacterial SSU rRNA
Rfam family: Bacterial small subunit ribosomal RNA
Source: RNAcentral